CUGGUUUCAUUUUUUGUUCUUCAAGCUCAAAUUUCUCGUGUUAUUUGUUAUCUUUUUUUUAAAGCAAAAUACACCGGACAUUACAAUAACACUGUAGAAUUUAACAGCAGAAACUCACCAAUGGAAGACGAAAAUUGACAACAAGAGAAUCAAGCUUUACUAUUAAUAUAUAAAUUUAUUUCUCAUAUAUACCUCAAAAAUAAUAGUAGUAAUAAUACAUAUCAAACCAAUAAUCAUGAACCAAACUUCCUAAAUCCUCUGUAUAAUCAAAUCUCGAAAAAUCAACGAACAGAAUAAUCAACAAUACAUGAAAACUCAGUUCCUGAAGAGAGCAACAGCGGAAACAAGCAGAGAAGAAGCCACCAAAGCACCAGAUUGAGCUAGAGAGAAUCCAGCUCCGGCAUCAGGUGCCGGCGCUGGAGCCAAUCCAAUCUCCUGAGCGGAACUUGUUGCUGAAAAAACAACAACAAUCAAUGCAACCAAAACCGACUUGAUAAUGCUGAUUUGUGCCAUUUCUACUAGAUUUGAACAAAGAAAUUGAGAGAAUUUUUUUUUUUUUUUUUG
Molecule: unclassified non-coding RNA, 564 nt
Filed under: Hevea brasiliensis (rubber tree)
Lineage: Eukaryota; Viridiplantae; Streptophyta; Magnoliopsida; Malpighiales; Euphorbiaceae
Source: RNAcentral